Molecule: long non-coding RNA, 284 nt
Organism: Populus trichocarpa (black cottonwood)
Lineage: Eukaryota; Viridiplantae; Streptophyta; Magnoliopsida; Malpighiales; Salicaceae
Exons: 2
Source: RefSeq, a predicted model, not a curated record
AAUGGAUGGUAUUUCUCCAAAAUUAUGUUAAGAUUACAAAAAAAAUAGCUGUGCUGCAUAAGAAGCUAUAAUAUCAAAUAAGGAACUCAAAAAUAAAAAUAUACGAUCAGUUACCAGAGCUACAUCAAAAAGGUUGACAAAUUGCAUGGUGAAAAGAAAACACAAAAAGAACAUGCACACUCUUGUAUAAGAUGCAAUUUUUUUUUUCAAAGAGCAUGUUACAUAGAAGGAAGCAUAGGGAAAUGAAGGACAGUUCUCUUUUAAUUGAUCACAGAAAAAAGAAA